GGCCAGAAACUGUUUACAUCAAGAAGCCAUAAACUGUUUACAUAUUGCAAAACUGUUUACAUCAAGCAACCAUAAAAAGGUUUAGCAUCAGAAAAGGAUUAGCUUUCAGCUCAGUUUUGGCAAAUGAAUAAAAGCUAAAGUAACACACAGAGUUGGGGCAAAUUUCUACAUUCUUCCAUUCUACAGAAAAUACAUAACACACAAAGUUGGGAAAAAUUUCCUGCAUCCUUCCACUAAAUAUAAAAAUAGUGAAGCCCAUAUCUUGCAACAAAAUUUAACACAAAAAGUCAAAUUAUAAAAAUCGUUUCAAUUUGUGUUGCCAGCAAAUAAAAACUAAAUUGAGUCCUAAAAAUGAAGUAAAUAAAAAGGAAAAAAAGCUUCUCGAAUGUCUUUCUUGACAAAAAAAGAAGGAAAAAAGCAGAAAUACCCACAAGCAUUUAGAAGAGAAUAAAUCAACAAAAGAACAGACCUAUAAUAGAUGGUUAAUUCUCAUCAUAAUGAAGAUGAUUUUUUAAGAUAAAAAUUCUCAUCAAAUUGAAGUUAGUUGAACUUGAACCUAUUACUACAACACUACUGUAAUUCUCAUCACCAUCCUAAAUUGCCAGGAACCAACCAGGCUAACUGACUGACUAUAAUUAUUUUUAUUUGUGAAAUACUCUAAAUAGAAAGAGAAGAUUUAUUAUCUAAUAUAAAGAUUAUAAAAUGAUAAAUGGAGGAUGAGAAUCCUAUUAAACUAGAAAAAUGGAAAAUAAAAAUUUCUAAUACGAAUCUUAACCUGAUAACAUGUAUCUAUCAGGACAUUUUAUAUCAAAUGCUUAAAGAACUUCUUCAUUUUUAGAUAUAGUAUCCAAAAAUGAAGAUGACAAUUGCUAUUAACUGUCAAAGAAAAGGUUGCAUUGUCCCGAGUAUUUAACAAGAGAAAGAAUGUGCUUAUAUUAAUAUGUAAAAACAGUUUAUUUCUAGUUAUGUCAGUUUGCCACAGGAUAAGAAAGAGCUUGUACCAACAAAUUACUAUCCCAACUAUUUUUACCUUAUCAUAACUCCUUCACCACAAAAAGUCUUUAUACUUUGACAGUUAGUUCUCGCUUUGCUGCCAACUGACUGAAUUUUGACCCAACCAACGGUUUAUGCGUUCAAUUUUAGGAGAAUCCAUAGCUAAAAAAUUCAUAAUUUAUCAAUCAAUCUCAAUCUUAAUAACUACUAUUUUAGGUAAAUUUGGAAGAAAAAAAUGAUUCUAAACCAAAAAAUUAAAUAAAAUCCACAAAAUAAAUCAAACCCAUAAUCCAUGAUCACAAAAAGAAAAAACUAGAAUUAAGAUUGGAACUUUUAACAACUUACCAGAGCAUCAAACAAAAGCAUAACAGCGAGAGCAAUUAGCGAAUCGAGUCCACCAUCGUUUAAAGCUGGGAAAUAAUAGGAUAAAAUGACAACAAAAUAUUUCAAGCCCUUACCGAAUCGAAGUGUGGAACAAGGAGAUCGAACUGAUGAGAUGAAGGAGAUCGAAGUGAGGGCUUGAGGAGGAUUGAAUUGAGGGCUUCCGAUUUUAGGGCUUGAGGGGAUCGAACUGAGAUUUCAAGGGCUUCGAUUUUCUGAAGCUGAAGUUGGAGAAGGAACUCUGGGCUUCGAAGAUUCGAUAAGGGCUUCGAUUUUCUGUUUUGCAGCAAUCGGUUUUCUGAAGAUUUCAAAGCUCGAUUUACUGUUUUGGAAGAACUCUCAGUCGAAAUCCACAAGUAGUGAGGAGAGAUAACUGAAAUGAAAUUAAAAAAACCU
Molecule: long non-coding RNA, 1770 nt
Filed under: Panax ginseng (ginseng)
Lineage: Eukaryota; Viridiplantae; Streptophyta; Magnoliopsida; Apiales; Araliaceae
Description: long non-coding RNA (PGIN_LNC018567)
Source: RNAcentral